GUUUCUCCAAACUAUAAUACUAAAAUGUUCGCAUUUCAGUAUAACCCCCCCUGAUCUUUUCAUGUUAAAACCAACAUCGUUUGACUCACCAUUUAAUCCGUGGGAAAAUAUGAAGUGGUCCAUCAACAUAUCAAUUGACCUUUUCAACUUCUAAAAAUAUUUAAACCUUUUCAAUUGCUCUAAAACUUUUUGUGCCAUAUUAUUGAGCUUGAUUUAUGUGCAAAGUAUCACAUCUCGCAAAAACCGUUUAGUAGCUACCUUAAUUAGAAAACAUAUAAGGUUUAAGUAAAGUCAGAAAAAUAAAAUGAAAUGAGGAAAGCCCCUGAGCACGUGGCCUCUCACUUCCCCUGUUCCAGGCCCAGCCCAUCUGGCCGGCCUUUCUCCUUUCUCUUGCCAGAGAAGGAGACAAUGCCAUGGCGUGGCGUCUGGCUGCCCGUCCAUGUGCCCGAUGCCGCCGUGUCGAUCAUCCGGUGAGCCCCGAGGUGUAUAAGGCCCUCCUCACCCCGUAGACGAACCCUAGAUGCUCUCCUCCUCUUCCUCUCGCGCCGCUUCUCCCUCACAGCACGAACCCGAGCGAAGUCGUCGCCGUGCCUUCGUGGCCAUGGUCAUCCCCGAGCGACGACAAGAUGUCUAGAGGCAGCGCCGUCCUCUUCUCCGUGGACUUCAACCACUGGACCAAGCCGGGAGGCCCUCGCGCGUCGCCAUCGCGCUCAUCUCCGCCUCUGCAUCUCGACAGCCGCCGUCGUCAAUUCGGCCGAUCCGCUGCAACCCCGAGCCCGCUGACCCUCACUGCCGCACCAAUUCAUCUAGGGUUUGGAUGGGUCUGGGUUCCUACAACGAUGGCAGUAGAGGCGACAAAGACCACUUUGCAACCUCGCCGAACUGUGUUACUGAACUGAAAGUUAGGGACGGCAGUAGUUCUACCACUGAUGGUGUUGCAUGUAAGCUGGAUGUUCUCAUUGUUCUGUUGGCUCUGAUCGGUGUGGAUGCUAUGAAGUUAAGGUUCUUAAGAUGAAUGAUGUUUAUAGAGGUGAUGCAGGAUGUGAGGUACAACUAUCAAAGUGACAUUAAUUUUGGUUUUGCUUCCUAUCCGCAGCCUCUUCUACACUAGAAAAGGAAAACACUCGACGAUCUGGCUCUGUCUCAGGUAUAUGCUCCCUCGCCCGCAAGUUCCGCUCUCUCCCAUCUACGCAUCACGCAACACUUCAGCUCCUCUUAUGGAUUCUCACCAGAUCAGGCCACCUCACUCACCUUCAAGUAAACCUUGAGCGACGACACAAUAUGUUUUCGCGAACUAAUCUUCUUUAGUCAACCUAUCGAUCCAUGUUGCGUGUGCUUCUUAAUCGACAUGUGAAUAAUCUGUUGAUGCAUGGAAAUACAUGCUGAUCUCCUAUUUUCUUGCUGCCUGCAAGAUAGUAUAUGCAUGAAUCUUGUUCAACUACAACAACCUGAAAGCCCUGUUAUUCUCAGAAAAAUUAUCAUCUACGGUUGUAUACAUAUGCCUCUUGAUAUUUACCAGCUCUCCUUUAAGAUUUCCUAACUAGCAUACAUAUCCUAGCUAAAACAUAAGAGUUCGAAUUUGUACAUGUGAACUGCACAUUAAGUUACUAUCACCAUUGUUUAAUAACACUGUUAAUUAUGACUCAGGUUUGUAAACAGUCAUCCAUACCAUAGGUACGUACGUUAAUGCAGAAGCACUACUAUUGAAUUAGAUGUAGUAACUGCGUCAUUCUGAACAUUUUAGCAAGUUCAUGCAUUAACCGCUUAGGGUCCAUCGAUGAAACAAAACCAAUCAUAUGAAUUGAAGGAGCUACUGAAAUAAAAUGGAAAGAACAAAGAGAAAAUUGAAGGUUAUCUAUAUGAAAAUUCAGAGAAUGAGAUAGGAGAGGUGGUUCUUCCCAAUAGGAAAAAGAGUGGAGUAUAGUACUGUUAUCCUACCUUUUCUACUACAAUCCCAGUUAGCAUAAUAAUGUGACAUGGAAAAUCAUAUUAUUGAUUCAAUUAUGAUUCAAGCAACAUGAAAAAUUAUCCGUGAAAUUCACUUCUAAACCCUGGUUUUAUUUAGUUUUAACUUCAGGAUAGGCAUUUACUGUAUUGUAAUUGCCAAACUUCCAAAAUUCUACUAUUACCAUUGUUUAACAACACCCUUUUUGUCACGGGAAAAUAAUAGAUGGAUAAACGUCUCAAAUCAUACACUAUGAAGCUUCCAACACUUGCUUACAGUGUCUUUCUUGUGUAAUCAGUCUGUCGUGAUGGACAAAGUUAAGAUCCCAACAAAAAGUGCUUCUUGAUACUAUGAUGCAACAACUUAACCUUCCAAAUUGCAGUUUACUAAACAGAAAGUGCUUCUUGAUGCUAUGAUACAGCUUCUUGAUGCUAUGAUGCAGAAACUUUAUGCUAUGGGCAAGUGAUUCAUGCUGCUCUUGGUUCUUCUGUACACUUGAAAUAAGGAACAAUAUUCCAAAGUAUGAUAGUGUUUGGUUAAAACAUAUACCUUAGUCCAGUACUUCAGUUUCUUCUUCUGAAGUUAUGUUCUGGUUUUCUACUUCUUUGCUCUGCUUUACACAAUUUACAUGGCUUUCGAGUCCUUUUAUUUAGGACUAGGGAAAAACCUCUAAUUGUUAACUUUGUAUUUUCGCACUGACUAGCGCAUAUCUUGCCUAAGCGCAGGCUUAAGCAAUGCGUUUUGUUCUGCCCUAGCGCCUAGGUGCUUACACCCUUUCCCCCUACUGAUUUAAGAGGUGUGGAGAUAUUUUAAGGAGGUGUUGCUAGCUUUGUUGUUCAGAUCACAGAAGAAGUAUGUACAAGUAUACAUCACCGCUGUUACUUGCUUGCAAUUAUAGUGUAUUUUAAAACACACACUUGGCGAACAUCUGCUCGUGCUUACAAUGCUCUAUGAGGGAAAUAAUAGAUCAACACUUGCUUUUUUGCUCCUUUCGAAGAGUUGUCAGGACCUCACCGGCAGAUCCCUCAGCUAUCAGGGAAAGCAGCCAUCAGCGGAGAUUGAGGGUGCCUCUCCGGCGAGAGUGCUCGUGUCGUGGUGGUUUCCCACCAGCGGCAUGGGGGAGGCGGUGUCCUCUGCCGCUAGGUCUACUUGCUGGCGACCUCACCGUCACCAACCCAUCUGUAGCCUACUUGAAUGGAUAUGGUUCCCGAGAGACCAUUUCUUAUGCAUCAGGUCCUGAAGGUGGAUGUUGCUUGUUUAGAUAUCUAUGGUUCCAAAUUAUUCAAAACGGUUCAUGUUAUGCUGGAUGCUAUUUUAUUGAGAGUGGCUUCGAACAAUAUGGCAUGAACAUAUUUGUUUUCUCUUUGGCCAAUAAUGAAAUGAUCUUUGUGCAUAUAAAAUGGUUAUCGAUACCA
Non-coding RNA from Aegilops tauschii subsp. strangulata, 3360 nucleotides. The record is from RefSeq and is a predicted model, not a curated record. Lineage: Eukaryota; Viridiplantae; Streptophyta; Magnoliopsida; Poales; Poaceae.